UGGCAUCAACACAUCUAAUGAGGCAGUCAUUGGAAAUAAUUUGGCAAGGUUUUGGGGAAAAGUGCACGGCAAAGAUGUUACAGCGCACUGCAACGUCUAGCCCCCAUUCUGGUCAAGCUUUUGUUAUAUUCAAGACAAGGGAAGCAUCAGAGAUGGCUAUGAG
Telopea speciosissima is the source of this 163-nucleotide long non-coding RNA. RefSeq lists it as uncharacterized. NCBI's taxonomy places the organism in Eukaryota, Viridiplantae, Streptophyta, Magnoliopsida, Proteales, Proteaceae. The record is from RefSeq and is a predicted model, not a curated record. The transcript has 3 exons.